RNAcentral lists this long non-coding RNA (270 nucleotides) under Gossypium barbadense (sea-island cotton). RNAcentral describes it as "long non-coding RNA (GBAR_LNC007325)". The record is from RNAcentral. Lineage: Eukaryota; Viridiplantae; Streptophyta; Magnoliopsida; Malvales; Malvaceae.
GCUACUCUUUUCUUUUAUAUAGAUAAAGGAAGAAUAUGUUUGUGGGUCUAGGUCGUAAAAUUUGAGAUUAUAUGGUGAAAUAUAAUAAUGAAAAUACAUUGCCAUUUGCAACAUUUUAAGGUGUUCCCACUGUAACCAAUGUGUGGAAACUGAAAAUGAGAUGUCUCCUAGGAAUGCCAACUUUUAUUAGUGUUUGACAUGGACAAAGCUAUAUUUUUUUUUCCUUCUGCCUACAGAUAGUGUACCGUUUGUUUUAUUUUCUCCUUUCCC